Dromaius novaehollandiae (emu) is the source of this 356-nucleotide long non-coding RNA. RefSeq lists it as uncharacterized. Lineage: Eukaryota; Metazoa; Chordata; Aves; Casuariiformes; Dromaiidae. The transcript is spliced from 3 exons. The record is from RefSeq and is a predicted model, not a curated record.
AGGUUAUUGAAGGAGAUCCUGUACAGGUGUGUGCAUAACUGGAUAACUGCUAUGACCAGUGGCCUGAAUUCCUUACGAUUGCCCUAUCUGAAGAUGGUGACAACAGAUAUUGAGAAAGUUGCCAUUCUGCAUUGGAAUACAAGGAGAACUAUUCUCCCCUGGAUUGAAGGGGGCAGGGAGAGACACUACACCCACUGAGGCAAUAUCCCAAACCAGAAAUCAGUGUUCUGCCCUUUUGCAACACAUGAAAUAUAUCAGCACUUGUUUUCUUCAUCUUUCUUUUUCUUUUCAAGCUAAAUACACAGCUUAUGAAUAAAGGAAACAGAAGAGUAAAAUUGUUGUGUAUAUGCUUUAGU